RNAcentral lists this ribosomal RNA (549 nucleotides) under uncultured Glomus. RNAcentral's name for it is "SSU rRNA". It matches the Rfam family "Eukaryotic small subunit ribosomal RNA", at positions 548 to 1098 of the family's 1831-position model. Lineage: Eukaryota; Fungi; Glomeromycota; Glomeromycetes; Glomerales; Glomeraceae. The record is from RNAcentral.
UUGGAGGGCAAGUCUGGUGCCAGCAGCCGCGGUAAUUCCAGCUCCAAUAGCGUAUAUUAAAGUUGUUGCAGUUAAAAAGCUCGUAGUUGAAUUUCGGGAUCGACGGGUCGGUCGCGCCUCUGGUGUGUACUGGCCCUGUCGGUUUCUCCCUUCUGACGAACCACGAUGUCAUUAAUUUGGUGUCGUGGGAAAUCAGGACUGUUACUUUGAAAAAAUUAGAGUGUUUAAAGCAAGCUUACGCUUGAAUACAUUAGCAUGGAAUAAUGAAAUAGGACAUCGCAUUCUAUUUUGUUGGUUUCUAGGAUCGAUGUAAUGAUUAAUAGGGAUAGUUGGGGGCAUUAGUAUUCAAUUGUCAGAGGUGAAAUUCUUGGAUUUAUUGAAGACUAACUACUGCGAAAGCAUUUGCCAAGGAUGUUUUCAUUAAUCAAGAACGAAAGUUAGGGGAUCGAAGACGAUCAGAUACCGUCGUAGUCUUAACCAUAAACUAUGCCGACUAGGGAUCGGACGAAGUUAAUUUUAUAAUGACGCGUUCGGCGCCUUACGGGAAAC